Long non-coding RNA from Oncorhynchus masou masou (cherry salmon), 1201 nucleotides. RefSeq lists it as uncharacterized. The record is from RefSeq and is a predicted model, not a curated record. NCBI's taxonomy places the organism in Eukaryota, Metazoa, Chordata, Actinopteri, Salmoniformes, Salmonidae. The transcript has 3 exons.
UCUGUCUAGAGUCUCGCUCCAGAGAUUGGGGGGUCUGACCUCCGCCUGUAGCCACUUCAUCCAGCCAGCUCCCUGUCCCAAGGAGAAGGGGGAGAGAGCCCAGUGAGGGCCACCAGGGACACCACUACAUUCAGCCAGCUCCCUGCACGGGCUGGGGCAACCCAGGGGGUGCUACUUCAUCCAGCCAGCUUCCUGUUCCAGCUAUAGAGAGAAAUAGUAUGGCAUAUUUUUCGUGACCAGGGAGGGGAGCACGUCAACAGCCGGGAUGCUACUAACAUCGCCAACCUCCUCCGUCAGAGGAUCCAGCAGCUAUCUCCAUGGUUACAUGGCAAGGCCGCCAACUUCAUAGGAUGAAUUGUGAGUUCAAGAGGUUCUAUUCGAGAAAUCCAAGAUUCACUGAGAUGCUUUUCCUUAAGGGAAAUGUAAACAAAGAACAGUCAAACCCACACACACUUAACAAACAUACUCUGAGAAGAGAGGUUUACUGUCGGUCUGUCAAAACAAGAUGUUUUUAAUUUCUCUAAACUGAUUCAAUGAUUAGUAAAGACUGACUCACUGUCUUGUCGGAGGUUUUAAUAGUUAUAGAGGUGGAAUGUGUCCAUACGGUAGGUGCUGACCUGCCUGGUAUCUGAAUGUACUGUCUGAUGUAGGUUCGGGACAAUGUAUUUUAUUUGAUGAUACAAAAUGGCAGUUUCAGUUUAUAAUGGGCUUGAUUCAACUUUAACCGUUUGAGUGUAGAGAACAGUGUUUUAUUCAUUCUGUGAAGUGACCACACUGUAGUGAAUGUGGUGUUGAUAUGUUUGUCUGCUGAAAGUAACCUAAUUGCUCAGUGUGCAACCUCUGUAAACGGAGAAAAAGAAACCCUGUACACUUAAUUGUUUUUAACAUGAAAUAUGUUGCCAAUACCCUCCACAUCAUUCACUCCACAUCAUUAAUUUAUCUGUCAUGGUUUGCCGUCCUUGAAGUGUGGGUGGGAAUCAUUUGGUUAGUUGUGGGAUGAUGCAGUCUUGCAAAAGUUUAUUUUCAACUAAAAAAUAAAAUACUAUUCUUAUGAUGUUUGAUAACUUAUGUGAGAACUUGUGAUCUUAAAUGCUAAUAGUGUCCCCUUUAAGACACUUCAAAUAGGUAUCCUUCUCUUUUCCUUUCAAGUUGUUUUGCACCAACCCUUGUAUGGAAUAAAUGUAAUGUUUUUUAAACCUUA